Molecule: unclassified non-coding RNA, 148 nt
Organism: Papio anubis (olive baboon)
Lineage: Eukaryota; Metazoa; Chordata; Mammalia; Primates; Cercopithecidae
Rfam family: Metazoan signal recognition particle RNA
About the family: The signal recognition particle (SRP) is a universally conserved ribonucleoprotein. It is involved in the co-translational targeting of proteins to membranes.
Source: Ensembl
GCCAGGCGCUGUGGCAUGUGCCUAUAGUCCCAGCUACUUGGGUGGCUGAGGUGGGAGGAUAGCCUGAGCCCAGGAGUUCUAGGCUGUAGUGAGCCAUGAUCAGACCACUGCACUCCAGCCUGGGCAACAGGGCGAGACCCUGUCUCUA